RNAcentral lists this long non-coding RNA (374 nucleotides) under Terrapene triunguis (Three-toed box turtle). RNAcentral describes it as "Terrapene carolina triunguis (Three-toed box turtle) lncRNA (ENSTMTG00000006099.1)". The record is from RNAcentral. Lineage: Eukaryota; Metazoa; Chordata; Testudines; Emydidae.
GCAGGGGUGGGGCAGGAUUCCUUUCCGAUCUGGGCUCUCCUGUCCCGUUUCAGAGCCACCCAAAUUCAUGUGCAGCCCGGAGAGAGCCCGCAAAAGCUGCCCCGUCAUCCAGCUAGACGGCGCCACUCAGUACCGCCGGGGGCGCAGGCAAUCCGAGCCGGCCACUGAGCUGAGCCAGAUGGGGCAGGAGCAGAACGGUCGCUGUCGGGGGCUCCCAGCCACCCCCAAAUUGAAGCACGCGGGCAGCGAGGGGGAGCUGUUCCCCGCCCCACCGCCACUGGCGCUCUCGGGCAGCGUCUGCACCCUGGACUCCAGCGUGGCCGAGGAGUCAGACCCCGGCGAGGACGCCGNNNNNNNNNNUCAGAGCAGUGGGU